UGGCCAUAGUGUUUGAGGAAUUAAAUGUGGUAAAGACAACCCUGGAUGCUUGGGGAGACCAACCUUGUGGAUUCUGAGCUGGGCACCAUUAGGAAAAUAACGUUGGUCAUUCCCAAGCAUUGUGAAGUGGAGAAAGGGGAUGCAGAAGAGAAAUGGUGAGGAUGCCCAUGAACACGGAGUGAAGCAGAAAGAAGGCAUUUUGUGAGCACUUCAAAAUUUUCUGGAUUUUUUACUAAAAUUAAAAGAAAACUGGAAUUAACUCUUUUAUGAGAGGAACUUUAGCAUACUAAUAAUGGCAACAACAAUAAAAACUAUGUUAUUGAAUAGUGACUGGGCACCCAAACUACACUAAAGACUGCACACACUUCUUUGGGUUUGAUCUUCACAAAGCUCUAUGAAUAGGUAUAAUUAUUUUCCCCUUUUGCACAAGAAAGAAUUGUUCCUUGCAGAGGUAAAGGGACAUAGCUAAGGUCAGGAGCAGAGCCAGGAUUCAAACUGGGGUCAGACUCUACAUCCCAGCUCUGGACCACUACACCUCACGACCUCGCUCAGGACUCUGCUUGCGGUGUCUGCCAGCUUUCCU
RNAcentral lists this long non-coding RNA (583 nucleotides) under Chinchilla lanigera (long-tailed chinchilla). RNAcentral describes it as "lncRNA (ENSCLAG00000024275.1)". The record is from RNAcentral. Lineage: Eukaryota; Metazoa; Chordata; Mammalia; Rodentia; Chinchillidae.